UACGGAGGGUGCGAGCGUUAAUCGGAAUUACUGGGCGUAAAGGGUGCGUAGGUGGUUUAUUAAGUUAUCUGUGAAAUUCCUGGGCUCAACCUGGGCUGGUCAGAUGAUACUGGUAGACUGGAGUAUGGGAGAGGGUGGAAGAAUUUCCGGUGUAGCGGUGAAAUGCGUAGAGAUCGGAAGGAACACCGGUGGCGAAGGCGUCCACCUGGCCUAAUACUGACACUGAGGCACGAAAGCGUGGGGAGCAAACAGG
RNAcentral lists this ribosomal RNA (253 nucleotides) under uncultured bacterium. Its description in RNAcentral is "partial 16S ribosomal RNA". It matches the Rfam family "Bacterial small subunit ribosomal RNA", at positions 524 to 776 of the family's 1533-position model. The record is from RNAcentral.